GACGAACGCUGGCGGCGUGCCUAAUACAUGCAAGUCGAGCGGACGAAUCGAAAGCUUGCUUUUGAUUCGUAGCGGCGGACGGGUGAGUAACACGUGGGCAACCUGCCCAGUAGACGGGGAUAACACCGAGAAAUCGGUGCUAAUACCGGAUAACACGAAAUGUCGCAUGACGUUUCGUUGAAAGACGGCGCAAGCUGUCGCUACAGGAUGGGCCCGCGGCGCAUUAGCUAGUUGGUGAGGUAACGGCUCACCAAGGCGACGAUGCGUAGCCGACCUGAGAGGGUGAUCGGCCACACUGGGAUUGAGACACGGCCCAGACUCCUACGGGAGGCAGCAGUAGGGAAUCUUCCGCAAUGGACGAAAGUCUGACGGAGCAACGCCGCGUGAGCGAAGAAGGCUUUCGGGUCGUAAAGCUCUGUUGUUAGGGGAGAACAAGUAACGCAGUAACGGGCGUUACCGUGACGGUACCUAACGAGAAAGCCACGGCUAACUACGUGCCAGCAGCCGCGGUAAUAGGUAGGUGGCUAGCGUUGUCCGGAAUUAUUGGGCGUAAAGCGCGCGCAGGCGGUUCCUUAAGUCUGAUGUGAAAGCCCACGGCUCAACCGUGGAGGGUCAUUGGAAACUGGGGGACUUGAGUGCUGAAGAGGAGAGCGGAAUUCCACGUGUAGCGGUGAAAUGCGUAGAGAUGUGGAGGAACACCAGUGGCGAAGGCGGCUCUCUGGUCUGUAACUGACGGUGAGGCGCGAACGCGUGGGGAGCAAUCAGG
Molecule: ribosomal RNA, 766 nt
Filed under: Anoxybacillus kestanbolensis
Lineage: Bacteria; Bacillati; Bacillota; Bacilli; Caryophanales; Anoxybacillaceae
Description: bacterial SSU rRNA
Rfam family: Bacterial small subunit ribosomal RNA
Source: RNAcentral